UACGUAGGGUGCGAGCGUUAAUCGGAAUUACUGGGCGUAAAGCGUGCGCAGGCGGUCUGUUAAGACCGAUGUGAAAUCCCCGGGCUUAACCUGGGAACUGCAUUGGUGACUGGCAGGCUUUGAGUGUGGCAGAGGGGGGUGGAAGUUCCACGUGUAGCAGUGAAAUGCGUAGAUAUGUGGAGGAACACCGAUGGCGAAGGCAGCCCCCUGGGUUAACACUGACGCUCAUGCACGAAAGCGCGGGGAGCGAACGGG
Molecule: ribosomal RNA, 255 nt
Filed under: uncultured bacterium
Lineage: Bacteria
Description: partial 16S ribosomal RNA
Rfam family: Bacterial small subunit ribosomal RNA
Source: RNAcentral